Jatropha curcas is the source of this 701-nucleotide long non-coding RNA. RefSeq lists it as uncharacterized. The record is from RefSeq and is a predicted model, not a curated record. NCBI's taxonomy places the organism in Eukaryota, Viridiplantae, Streptophyta, Magnoliopsida, Malpighiales, Euphorbiaceae.
CCUGUUUUAGCCUUUUAAGUUUUGCUUUCUGUAGACGCUUCUCCGUCAAAAAGAACUCAUCUGUCGCAACAAUUUUAAUCGCCGGAUAAGUCUUCCACCUAGGCCAACGAUAAUCGCCGACCACUCUCAAACCUUCUUUUGGGCUCUGAUGCCCCAGACCACCAUGGAUUAUGGUUGCCCUAUGUUCUUAAAGAUCAUAUUCUCUCCCACCAGACCUUGCCGACACUGAAAGAUCGAUUGGAACCGCAACAGAAGCAACAACGACUGUUUUGAAGGAGAGAAUUGAAGGAUUGCUUGGGAAUCGAGCCUCUUCUAUUUAGCAGGGAGAGAAACCUGCAUAUGCAGAGCGUUUAUAUCUGGAGAAAAGAGUCGGAUGAUAGUCGGUGGAUAUGCUCCAGGUGAGAAUUCUGAAUCUUAUGGUCGAAUUUCAGGUAUGCAGUGGUUACAUUUGCAAAAACUCAAAAACAGUCGGAGAAGAGAAAAGCGGCCUUGAAGCUCCUCAAAACCCAAUUCGCAUGUGUAAACCAUUCAAACAUGUGAUUCUCUUCUUUUUUUCCAAUUUUUGUGUAUGAUAAGUAGAGAAUUAGAUACUUGCCAAAUGGUAUAUUUAUGUAUCCGUGUGUCUUUAAGGGCAUCCUUGGACAUAUGAGGUGGAUUUUUAUAUUAAUCUUGCAAUAGAAGAAGUACAAUCAUCUCCAACA